UGGACAACACAUUUCCCACCUGACAGAGAUCUGUGUUAGCACUGGCUUUACUAACCUAAGUGUUGAUCGCCACCUUACUGAAGAAAGUAGUCUUACAAAUUAUCAUGAGAUUAAAGUCUCAUGGUAAAAAUAUUCUUUCCAAAAACCAAAUGUAGAGGCUCAAAAACAAAACUUUGGCCUAUACUAAAAUAAUAUGGGCUAAUUUGCAUACACACAUACAAGUACAGAGAAAGAUGUAUAGCUUCAGUUUUGCAAAUUUCAGUUUUCAAUGUUUUUCUGAAAAUUGCAGGAGGUUAUAGGUUAGUCUGAGGAUAGCAACUUUUUUAAUUCAUUAUUUUUAAUCACGAAGUAUUCAGUUUCUAUAAAAUCAACUUUAGUUUAAGAAGAUACCAUGUGUUCCCACAAGGGCAGAGUUUUCCCCUCAUCUACAUCAGGGUGGAUUUCUGCAGCAUAAUUAUACUGAAAUUUUAUUUUAACCUUCUGUGUGUUAGCAUAUUUCUGUUAAUAAUAAACAGGUUGAAUCAGGGUACGUGAAAUUGUUGGGUUCUCAGUGAUAAUGGCAAGCUCUAAUUUGUGUGCUGCAGUGUGCUAAAGUGGUUUAUGCACAUGACAUUAUUCUUUGAUGAUGAAAUGGUUCUGCUCGUGUUUCAUAAUUCUGAUACCAUGUUUAAUUAAAACAGCACAUGAUAUUGAUGGGUUCAUGAAAAUGGCCAACACUUACUCUGUGGAGUUGUCACUGUUUCCUUACAUUUUUCAGGAAAUCCUUCCAUCUCUGCAGUCACGUGGCACUGGUCCAUCCGCACACUGUUUUGUCCUCACCCACCUCACUGAAUCUGAUGGACACUGUACAGUCGCAGUCUCUUUGUGCAGAAUUGGCAGCGAUGCCUGUGCUUGAUCAUCCCUGUUUAUAAGAAUCCAGCUUCUGGUCUCUGUUCUCAUUAACCGCAUAUUGCAUUAUAGAAUGAAAAAUAAGAGAGACUAAUUAGAGAGAGGAAGGAAGACUUAUUUUGCAUCCUGAAUGAAAAAAUAUAUAUAUAUAUAUUUAGACAGUGUAAACAAACAACUGCUGCAGAGUGUCCUGUGUGUAAUAGUGUCUGGUGUGUACCUGUGUGCUGUGCUAAAUCAGGGGACCCUUUCUGUCUCUUGUCCAUGGUGUCUAUAUCCAGUGACAAGUGUCUGCUAUGUACCUUUUGCAAUGGACUUCAUAAACUGCAUUCUCUAAACCUUUUUUUUAAACAAUUUCAUGAACAAUUUCAUAAACACUGAAGUAUUAACAGAUUAUAUGAGUCAGAGUAUUGAGCUGAGAUAGCUUCUAAUUGAACUUAAUUUUAUAUUUAAGUUUUGAAUUUAUCACAAAAUACACCAUAGCUGAGAAAAAAACAAUUAUGAAUGCCUUCUGCAUGUUCGUUAUUUCUAACAGACAUGGUGCAAUUUUUUAAAUACAGAAAGGUGUAGGGUUAGAAUGGAUGUGUCUGCACUCAUCUCUGUUGUCUGUCUGUCUUUAUAUUCACACUGUACAGUAAGACUUAAAGUUCUAAGUUUCAUGCUAAGUAAAAGGAUGACCCGAUCUUGGGCGGAGAUACUUAGUUUUGUUAGCUCCCAGUGGAGGCCGGCAUUUGCCCUUUUACCUUUUACCAUAUACUUGGAAAUGUGUAUCUGGAAUUAACUACUAGAAAAUGUAUGAUUAUGUUCCAUGUUUUUGGCCCCUGGAUUCAAAUCCCUACAUUUGGUAGAUUUGGGUAAAUUUUGCUGUUUUUAAAGCAUCUUUUAUGUAAAAAGAUUACAUUUUUAUAAUAAAUGGCAAAUAAGAUG
RNAcentral lists this long non-coding RNA (1812 nucleotides) under Mus musculus (house mouse). RNAcentral's name for it is "long non-coding RNA chr5:105488251-105490063". Lineage: Eukaryota; Metazoa; Chordata; Mammalia; Rodentia; Muridae. The record is from RNAcentral.